GUAAGGAAUAUUGGUCAAUGGACGCAAGUCUGAACCAGCCAUGCCGCGUGGAGGAUGAAGGUCCUCUGGAUUGUAAACUUCUUUUAUCUGGGACGAAAAAAGGGAAUUCUUUCUCGUCUGACGGUACCAGAUGAAUAAGCACCGGCUAACUCCGUGCCAGCAGCCGCGGUAAUACGGAGGGUGCAAGCGUUAUCCGGAUUCACUGGGUUUAAAGGGUGCGUAGGCGGGUAUGUAAGUCCGUGGUGAAAUCUCCGAGCUUAACUCGGAAACUGCCAUGGGUACUGCGUAUCUUGAAUGUUGUGGAGGUGAGCGGAAUAUGUCAUGUAGCGGUGAAAUGCUUAGAUAUGACAUAGAACACCAAUUGCGAAGGCAGCUCACUACACAAAUAUUGACGCUGAGGCACGAAAGCGUGGGGAUCAAACAGGAUUAGAUACCCCGGUAGUCC
This 445-nucleotide ribosomal RNA is filed under the name uncultured bacterium. RNAcentral's name for it is "partial 16S ribosomal RNA". It matches the Rfam family "Bacterial small subunit ribosomal RNA", at positions 354 to 796 of the family's 1533-position model. The record is from RNAcentral.